RNAcentral lists this ribosomal RNA (497 nucleotides) under uncultured bacterium. Its description in RNAcentral is "partial 16S ribosomal RNA". It matches the Rfam family "Bacterial small subunit ribosomal RNA", at positions 28 to 507 of the family's 1533-position model. The record is from RNAcentral.
GAUGAACGCUGGCGGCGUGCCUAAUACAUGCAAGUCGAGCGAACGGACCAGCAGCCUUCUCCUCUGAUGUUAUCGACGGGCGUGUGCGUCACCCGUGCAUAACCAACCUAUACGACUGGGAUCACUUCGGGCACCCGGCGCUCCUACCGGAUAAUAUUUUGCACCGCAUGGUUCAAAAGUCCAAGACGGUCUUGCUGUCACUUAUAGAUGGAUCCGCGCUGCAUUAGCUAGUUGGUAAGGUAACGGCUUACCAAGGCAACGAUGCAUAGCCGACCUGAGAGGGUGAUCGGCCACACUGGAACUGAGACACGGUCCAGACUACGACGGGAGGCAGCAGUAGCGGAUCUGCCGCAUGGGGCGAAAGCCUGACGGGGCAACGCCGCGUGAAUGACGGAGGUCUACGGAUCGGAAAACUCUGUUAGUAGGGAAGAACAGAGGUGUGAGUAACUGUGCACUUCUGGACGGUACCUAAUCAGAAAGGCACGGCUAACUACGGG